UUCUGCAAUACCUCUAUAGCUUUAGUGCCGCCAAGUGCCAUUUACAUUUUUGUUUUAACUUAAUGAGCUAAUCUUAGAACUGUAGAUGUUUGGGAAAGCAAGAAACAGAUAAAUGAGAGAAAUGAGUUUACAAUGAGCAACAGAAUGUGGGAACCAUUAUAUAUAUGUCGAGCCAUAUUAUCAACGUAUCUGUGCUUCUGUGUAAAGUGUCCAUGAAAAAUUUUCAACAGUCCUUUUAAACUGAUACAUGCACUGUAUAUGUUUUAAUUUGUUUUAAAUCUACCUCUUAGCUGCAUUCUUUGAACAUAGUAUCAACUAGCCCACCCUCCUUUAAAUGGGAGGGUGGUCC
RNAcentral lists this long non-coding RNA (349 nucleotides) under Bos taurus (domestic cattle). Its description in RNAcentral is "long non-coding RNA NONBTAT025867". The record is from RNAcentral. Lineage: Eukaryota; Metazoa; Chordata; Mammalia; Artiodactyla; Bovidae.